CGCUUUUUUGCCCAGUCAGAACUUGACCGCCGAUUCAAGUCCUAAAGGCCUUUGUCGAGCAGCAUCGCGACCCCUUUGGGGGCGAGCCGAUCUGCAAGGUCUUGCGGAUUGCCCCG
Regulatory RNA element from Burkholderia sp. lig30, 116 nucleotides. It matches the Rfam family "ALIL pseudoknot". The record is from Rfam. NCBI's taxonomy places the organism in Bacteria, Pseudomonadati, Pseudomonadota, Betaproteobacteria, Burkholderiales, Burkholderiaceae.